RNAcentral lists this long non-coding RNA (380 nucleotides) under Vigna radiata. RNAcentral describes it as "long non-coding RNA (VRAD_LNC017923)". The record is from RNAcentral. Lineage: Eukaryota; Viridiplantae; Streptophyta; Magnoliopsida; Fabales; Fabaceae.
AGAAUAUGAUUUUAUAAUAUAGAUAAAAAUUUGUUUAAAGCGUAAAAAAACCAAAAACAAAAGAAAAUAGAUUGCUUAAAAAAAUAGAUAAAAAAAUAAACUUACUUAAAAAAAAUUGUUUGGUUAAAAGUAUUUCUUAACUCUUCAAUUUUAGUGUGUAUAAUUUGAUUUUGAAAAUAUUAAAUGAAAAUUGAGAUAAAAAAGAAAAAAAUAAGAAAAAGAUAGAGUUACGGGACAGAGAAAUCAAAAGAAAGAAGAAAAAGAUAUCAUUUAAAGUGUUACCUGGUUUUACAAGUUUUUAGAAAACUUUUUUAAACUUAAUAUAAAUUAUAAUAAUAUAUAAAUAUAUUAUUUAAAACAUAUAUAAAAAGUAAAAAAAU